RNAcentral lists this transfer-messenger RNA (346 nucleotides) under Novosphingobium kunmingense. Its description in RNAcentral is "Alphaproteobacteria transfer-messenger RNA". It matches the Rfam family "Alphaproteobacteria transfer-messenger RNA". Rfam says of the family: Bacterial tmRNA, also known as 10Sa RNA or SsrA, is named for its dual tRNA and mRNA-like properties. Its role is to liberate the mRNA from a stalled ribosome. Lineage: Bacteria; Pseudomonadati; Pseudomonadota; Alphaproteobacteria; Sphingomonadales; Sphingomonadaceae. The record is from Rfam by way of RNAcentral.
CCCCUUUUCUUUUGAUUGCACCCGCCCUAUAUCGGGCCUGCCGGUUUCGGCCGGCUAUGGUGAUAAAUUGCGGCGUGCAAUAGGCACAGCGGACCCGGGGGCAGUACCCGGCGGCUCCACCACCUCUCUCGUUGUCGCGGGGGAAAUGACGGGGCCGAACCAGGAUCGACGUGUGUUGAAAAGCGUUGUUUUCACCCGGGCUGAGUAACCCGUUCAAGGCUCAAAACUCACAAGUGCCAACGACAACGAAGCACUUGCUCUCGCCGCGUAACCUGACGGCCUAACGGCCUGAUCUUACAAAGCGAAAGCACGGUUCGGACCGAACCGGGUAACAGAAUCGGAAACC